AUACGGAGGAUCCGAGCGUUAUCCGGAUUUAUUGGGUUUAAAGGGUGCGCAGGCGGCCAUUUAAGUCAGCGGUUAAAUCGUGGGGCUCAACCCCAUUCUGCCGUUGAUACUGGGUGGCUUGAUUGCGGUCGAGGUUGGCGGAAUUCGUUGUGUAGCGGUGAAAUGCAUAGAUAUCACGAAGAACUCCGAUUGCGAAGGCAGCCUGCUGGACUGUAACUGACGCUGAUGCUCGAAAGUGUGGGUAUCAAACAGGAUUAGAUACCCUGGUAGUCCACACAGUAAACGAUGAAUACUCGCUGUUUGCGAUAUACAGUAAGCGGCCAAGCGAAAGCGUUAAGUAUUCCACCUGGGGAGUACGCCGGCAACGGUGAAACUCAAAUGAAUUGACGGGG
This 392-nucleotide ribosomal RNA is filed under the name uncultured bacterium. Its description in RNAcentral is "partial 16S ribosomal RNA". It matches the Rfam family "Bacterial small subunit ribosomal RNA", at positions 523 to 918 of the family's 1533-position model. The record is from RNAcentral.